Molecule: ribosomal RNA, 500 nt
Filed under: uncultured bacterium
Lineage: Bacteria
Description: partial 16S ribosomal RNA
Rfam family: Bacterial small subunit ribosomal RNA
Source: RNAcentral
AUUGAACGCUGGCGGCAUGCCUUACACAUGCAAGUCGAACGGCAGCACGGGUGCUUGCACCUGGUGGCGAGUGGCGAACGGGUGAGUAAUACAUCGGAACGUACCUUAUCGUGGGGGAUAACGCAGCGAAAGCUGUGCUAAUACCGCAUACGCCCUGAGGGGGAAAGCGGGGGAUCGAAAGACCUCGCGCGAUUAGAGCGGCCGAUGCCUGAUUAGCUUGUGGUGGGGUAAAAGCCCACCAAGGCGACGAUCAGUAGCUGGUCUGAGAGGACGAUCAGCCACACUGGGAGUGAGACACGGCCCAGACUCCUACGGGAGGCAGCAGUGGGGAAUUUUGGACAAUGGGGGCAACCCUGAUCCAGCAAUGCCGCGUGAGUGAAGAAGGCCUUCGGGUUGUAAAGCUCUUUUGUCAGGGAAGAAACACCGGCUCUAACACAGUCCGGGAAUGACGGUACCUGAAGAAUAAGCACCGGCUAACUACGUGCCAGCAGCCGCCGUAA